Molecule: unclassified non-coding RNA, 235 nt
Filed under: Thelebolus globosus
Lineage: Eukaryota; Fungi; Ascomycota; Leotiomycetes; Thelebolales; Thelebolaceae
Description: partial internal transcribed spacer region
Rfam family: Eukaryotic small subunit ribosomal RNA (bases 1-46)
Source: RNAcentral
AAGUCGUAACAAGGUUUCCGUAGGUGAACCUGCGGAAGGAUCAUUAAAGAGACAUUGCCCUUCGGGGUAUACCUCCCACCCAUUUUAUUAUACCUUUGUUGCUUUGGCAGACCCGGCUUCGGCCCACCGGCUCUGGCUGGUCAGUGUCUGCCAGAGGACCUAAAACUCUGUUUGUUAAUGUUGUCUGAGUACUAUAUAAUAGUUAAAACUUUCAACAACGGAUCUCUUGGUUCUG